ACUCAAAGGAAUUGACGGGGGCCCGCACAGCGAGACAUGUGUUAAUUCGAUGAUACGCGAGACUACCCGGGCUUGAACUGCAGCUGAACGAUUCAGAGAUGAUGAGUCUUCGGACAGCUGUGGAGUGCUGCAUGUGUCGUCAGCUCGUGCCGUGAGUUGUCGGCUAAGUGCCAUAACGAGCGCACCUUUCUCUAGUUGCCAUCAGUUUGCUGGCACUCUGGAGACACUGCCACCGUAAGUGUGAGGAAGGUGGGGAUGACGUCAAAUCAGCACGGCCCUUACGUCCGGGGCUACACACGUGUUACAAUGGGUGGUACAGAGAGUUGGUUGUUUGCAAAAACGAUCUAAUCCUUAAAGCCAUCCUCAGUUCGGAUUGGGGUCUGCAACCCGACCCCAUGAAGCUGGAUUCGCUAGUAAUCGCGCAUCAGCCAUGGCGCGGUGAAUACGUUCCCGGGCCUUGUACACACCGCCCGUCAAGCCAUGAAAGCUGGGGGCGCUUGAAGUCCGUGACCGCAAGGAUCGGCCUAGAGCGAAACCGGUAAUUGGGGCU
RNAcentral lists this ribosomal RNA (550 nucleotides) under uncultured rumen bacterium. RNAcentral's name for it is "bacterial SSU rRNA". It matches the Rfam family "Bacterial small subunit ribosomal RNA", at positions 899 to 1482 of the family's 1533-position model. The record is from RNAcentral.